GGGUCAGUAGGUUGGACGUGCCACCGGUACGUACUGGUCUCACUGAUUCCUCCUUCCUGAAGAACCGUGAUGCCAUUAAUUUGGUGUUGCGGGGAAACAGGACUGUUACUUUGAAAAAAUUAGAGUGUUUAAAGCAAGCUAACGCUUGAAUACAUUAGCAUGGAAUAAUGAAAUAGGACGAUCGAUCCUAUUUUGUUGGUUUCUAGGAUUGACGUA
This 216-nucleotide ribosomal RNA is filed under the name Glomeromycotina sp. RNAcentral's name for it is "partial small subunit ribosomal RNA". The stretch from base 40 to 216 matches the Rfam family "Eukaryotic small subunit ribosomal RNA", at positions 686 to 864 of the family's 1831-position model. Lineage: Eukaryota; Fungi; Glomeromycota. The record is from RNAcentral.